AGCAGCCGCGGUAAUUCCAGCUCCAAUAGCGUAUAUUAAAGUUGUUGCAGUUAAAAAGCUCGUAGUUGAAUUUCGGGGUUCUACCGUUGGUCGGGCUUUGUCUGUACUGGCGUGUAGAAUUUCUACCUUCUGGGGAACCAUCAUGUUAUUAAUUUAACGUGGUGGGAAACCAGGACCUUUACCUUGAAAAAAUUAGAGUGUUCAAAGCAGGCUUAUGUCUGAAUACAUUAGCAUGGAAUAAUAGAAUAGGACGGUGGUCCUGUUUUGUUGGUUUCUGAAUCACCGUAAUGAUUAAUAGGGAUAGUUGGGGGCAUUAGUAUUCAAUUGUCAGAGGUGAAAUUCUUGGAUUUGU
RNAcentral lists this ribosomal RNA (352 nucleotides) under uncultured Racocetra. RNAcentral's name for it is "SSU rRNA". It matches the Rfam family "Eukaryotic small subunit ribosomal RNA", at positions 569 to 929 of the family's 1831-position model. The record is from RNAcentral. Lineage: Eukaryota; Fungi; Glomeromycota; Glomeromycetes; Diversisporales; Gigasporaceae.